This 74-nucleotide transfer RNA is filed under the name Cryptomonas paramaecium. RNAcentral's name for it is "Cryptomonas paramecium tRNA". Lineage: Eukaryota; Cryptophyceae; Cryptomonadales; Cryptomonadaceae. The record is from RNAcentral.
AUCUUUUGUCUGAGGUUGAAUUUUCACGUAAUUACCUUUUUCUAAUUCUAUAUGUUCGAAAAAUAGAGUCUCUC